GGGUUGUGAGGUUAAGCGACUAAGCGUACACGGUGGAUGCCCUGGCAGUCAGAGGCGAUGAAGGACGUGCUAAUCUGCGAAAAGCGCCGGCGAGGUGAUAUGAACCUUUGACCCGGCGAUGUCCGAAUGGGGAAACCCAGUGCAAUUCGUUGCACUAUCGUUAACUGAAUACAUAGGUUAACGAGGCGAACCGGGGGAACUGAAACAUCUAAGUACCCCGAGGAAAAGAAAUCAACCGAGAUUCCCCCAGUAGCGGCGAGCGAACGGGGAGCAGCCCAGAGUCUGAAUCAGCUUGUGUGUUAGUGGAAGCGUCUGGAAAGUCGCACGGUACAGGGUGACAGUCCCGUACACGAAAGCACACAGGUUGUGAACUCGAAGAGUAGGGCGGGACACGUGGUAUCCUGUCUGAAUAUGGGGGGACCAUCCUCCAAGGCUAAAUACUCCUGACUGACCGAUAGUGAACCAGUACCGUGAGGGAAAGGCGAAAAGAACCCCGGCGAGGGGAGUGAAAAAGAACCUGAAACCGUGUACGUACAAGCAGUGGGAGCACCUUCGUGGUGUGACUGCGUACCUUUUGUAUAAUGGGUCAGCGACUUAUAUUCUGUAGCAAGGUUAACCGUAUAGGGGAGCCGAAGGGAAACCGAGUCUUAACUGGGCGUUAAGUUGCAGGGUAUAGACCCGAAACCCGGUGAUCUAGCCAUGGGCAGGUUGAAGGUUGGGUAACACUAACUGGAGGACCGAACCGACUAAUGUUGAAAAAUUAGCGGAUGACUUGUGGCUGGGGGUGAAAGGCCAAUCAAACCGGGAGAUAGCUGGUUCUCCCCGAAAGCUAUUUAGGUAGCGCCUCGUGAACUCAUCUUCGGGGGUAGAGCACUGUUUCGGCUAGGGGGCCAUCCCGGCUUACCAACCCGAUGCAAACUACGAAUACCGAAGAAUGUUAUCACGGGAGACACACGGCGGGUGCUAACGUCCGUCGUGAAGAGGGAAACAACCCAGACCGCCAGCUAAGGUCCCAAAGUCAUGGUUAAGUGGGAAACGAUGUGGGAAGGCACAGACAGCCAGGAUGUUGGCUUAGAAGCAGCCAUCAUUUAAAGAAAGCGUAAUAGCUCACUGGUCGAGUCGGCCUGCGCGGAAGAUGUAACGGGGCUAAACCAUGCACCGAAGCUGCGGCAGCGACGCUUAUGCGUUGUUGGGUAGGGGAGCGUUCUGUAAGCCGUUGAAGGUGUGCUGUGAGGCAUGCUGGAGGUAUCAGAAGUGCGAAUGCUGACAUAAGUAACGAUAAAGCGGGUGAAAAGCCCGCUCGCCGGAAGACCAAGGGUUCCUGUCCAACGUUAAUCGGGGCAGGGUGAGUCGACCCCUAAGGCGAGGCCGAAAGGCGUAGUCGAUGGGAAACAGGUUAAUAUUCCUGUACUUGGUGUUACUGCGAAGGGGGGACGGAGAAGGCUAUGUUAGCCGGGCGACGGUUGUCCCGGUUUAAGCAUGUAGGCGGAGGUUCCAGGUAAAUCCGGUACCUUAUUAACGCUGAGGUGUGAUGACGAGGCACUACGGUGCUGAAGUAACAAAUGCCCUGCUUCCAGGAAAAGCCUCUAAGCAUCAGGUAACACGAAAUCGUACCCCAAACCGACACAGGUGGUCAGGUAGAGAAUACCAAGGCGCUUGAGAGAACUCGGGUGAAGGAACUAGGCAAAAUGGUGCCGUAACUUCGGGAGAAGGCACGCUGAUAUGUAGGUGAAGCCCCUGCGGGUGGAGCUGAAAUCAGUCGAAGAUACCAGCUGGCUGCAACUGUUUAUUAAAAACACAGCACUGUGCAAACACGAAAGUGGACGUAUACGGUGUGACGCCUGCCCGGUGCCGGAAGGUUAAUUGAUGGGGUUAGCGGUAACGCGAAGCUCUUGAUCGAAGCCCCGGUAAACGGCGGCCGUAACUAUAACGGUCCUAAGGUAGCGAAAUUCCUUGUCGGGUAAGUUCCGACCUGCACGAAUGGCGUAAUGAUGGCCAGGCUGUCUCCACCCGAGACUCAGUGAAAUUGAACUCGCUGUGAAGAUGCAGUGUACCCGCGGCAAGACGGAAAGACCCCGUGAACCUUUACUAUAGCUUGACACUGAACACUGGUCCUUGAUGUGUAGGAUAGGUGGGAGGCUUUGAAGCGUGGACGCCAGUCUGCGUGGAGCCGACCUUGAAAUACCACCCUUUAAUGGCUGGUGUUCUAACGUAGACCCGUAAUCCGGGUUGCGGACAGUGUCUGGUGGGUAGUUUGACUGGGGCGGUCUCCUCCCAAAGAGUAACGGAGGAGCACGAAGGUUAGCUAAUCCUGGUCGGACAUCAGGAGGUUAGUGCAAUGGCAUAAGCUAGCUUGACUGCGAGAGUGACGGCUCGAGCAGGUGCGAAAGCAGGUCAUAGUGAUCCGGUGGUUCUGAAUGGAAGGGCCAUCGCUCAACGGAUAAAAGGUACUCCGGGGAUAACAGGCUGAUACCGCCCAAGAGUUCAUAUCGACGGCGGUGUUUGGCACCUCGAUGUCGGCUCAUCACAUCCUGGGGCUGAAGUAGGUCCCAAGGGUAUGGCUGUUCGCCAUUUAAAGUGGUACGCGAGCUGGGUUUAGAACGUCGUGAGACAGUUCGGUCCCUAUCUGCCGUGGGCGCUGGAGAAUUGAGGGGGGCUGCUCCUAGUACGAGAGGACCGGAGUGGACGCAUCACUGGUGUUCGGGUUGUCAUGCCAAUGGCACUGCCCGGUAGCUAAAUGCGGAAAAGAUAAGUGCUGAAAGCAUCUAAGCACGAAACUUGCCCCGAGAUGAGUUCUCCCUGACCCUUUAAGGGUCCUGAAGGAACGUUGAAGACUACGACGUUGAUAGGUCGGGUGUGUAAGCGCAGCGAUGCGUUGAGCUAACCGAUACUAAUGAACCGUGAGGCUUAACCUUACAACGCCGAAGCUGUU
Molecule: ribosomal RNA, 2932 nt
Filed under: Enterobacter asburiae
Lineage: Bacteria; Pseudomonadati; Pseudomonadota; Gammaproteobacteria; Enterobacterales; Enterobacteriaceae
Description: 23S ribosomal RNA
Rfam family: Bacterial large subunit ribosomal RNA
Source: RNAcentral